RNAcentral lists this small nucleolar RNA (108 nucleotides) under Cephalotus follicularis. RNAcentral describes it as "Small nucleolar RNA Z279/snoR105/snoR108". It matches the Rfam family "Small nucleolar RNA Z279/snoR105/snoR108". Rfam says of the family: This family includes the plant snoRNAs known as Z279, snoR105 and snoR108. Lineage: Eukaryota; Viridiplantae; Streptophyta; Magnoliopsida; Oxalidales; Cephalotaceae. The record is from Rfam by way of RNAcentral.
GGGAGAUGAUGAGUGGUCAUCACUCGCAAUUGUUUUUGCGUGAUGGGUGUCUGCCCCACAGCCUGGUUACGACAAUCAGGGCACCCCUUUUUGUUGCCAUCUGAUCCC